This 253-nucleotide ribosomal RNA is filed under the name uncultured bacterium. Its description in RNAcentral is "partial 16S ribosomal RNA". It matches the Rfam family "Bacterial small subunit ribosomal RNA", at positions 524 to 776 of the family's 1533-position model. The record is from RNAcentral.
UACGUAGGGUGCGAGCGUUAAUCGGAAUUACUGGGCGUAAAGCGUGCGCAGGCGGCUUUGCAAGACAGAUGUGAAAUCCCCGGGCUCAACCUGGGAACUUCAUUUGUGACUGCAAGGCUAGAGUACGGCAGAGGGGGAUGGAAUUCCGCGUGUAGCAGUGAAAUGCGUAGAUAUGCGGAGGAACACCAAUGGCGAAGGCAAUCCCCUGGGCCUGUACUGACGCUCAUGCACGAAAGCGUGGGGAGCAAACAGG